Molecule: long non-coding RNA, 815 nt
Organism: Cucurbita pepo subsp. pepo (vegetable marrow)
Lineage: Eukaryota; Viridiplantae; Streptophyta; Magnoliopsida; Cucurbitales; Cucurbitaceae
Source: RefSeq, a predicted model, not a curated record
GCCAUUUUCUACAAUAACCCUCGUUUAGUUCACUUCAUUGUUCGUCGUCCUCGAUAUACGCCUGCAAUCGUCUCUGCAUCAUCCUUUAAACGAUCUUGAUAAUGAAGAUGGACACUACCGGUCUUGAAUCAGCCACUUUUUUCGGUGACGUCUUUUGAUAUUCCAAAUUCUGUGCUUAUGUGAGUGAACAUGUGUAACACCCGAGCUUAGGAGCGACCUGGAUUGUAUUAUUUGCAUUAUUUGACAGUGAAGGAGGAAAAUUGAAAGGAACUCGAAUGUCAGUUGAAUCUGGUUCACCUUAUGUGUAUGGUGUCCUGGACAAUGGGUAUUCAUCUUUGCUUUUACUUGUCCUUCAUCUUCAUCGAAAUAGAAACUUGUAACCCAACAUCAUUGGUACAAAAAUCUUAACAUACCCCUGAGAAAGGUAGAGAAAUUUACUUCUUAACACACUGCUGUGCUUCAUUCCUUCAUGUACAAUUGGUAAUUCUUGACUAUGCCAAACUUCAAUAUGGAUUUGAGGUAUUCUGAUUUCCAACGUGUCUGCAGCUACCGGUACGAUUUAUCAGUUGAAGAAGCUGCUGAACUGUCUAGAAGAGCAAUUUAUCAUGCAACAUUCUGAGACGAGGUCAGUAACAGAGUUGCUAGUGGUAUCUCCUGAUUACUCCUCUCCUUAUCAUGUCGAUAUGCAUAUCGUAUAUCCAUUUCUCGUUUCUAUGCAUAGUUUUAUCUGAAAUUGGGUUUUUGUUCGGUUUUGUUAGAUCCCAUAUUUGUUUGAGAGGGAAACGAAACAUUCUUUUAUAAGGGUGUGGAAACCU